This 231-nucleotide small nuclear RNA is filed under the name Nannospalax galili (Upper Galilee mountains blind mole rat). Its description in RNAcentral is "7SK RNA (ENSNGAG00000008479.1)". It matches the Rfam family "7SK RNA". Rfam says of the family: 7SK was discovered as an abundant small nuclear RNA in the mid-70s but a possible function has only recently been suggested. Two independent studies have found that 7SK RNA binds the CDK9/cyclin T complex (known as elongation factor P-TEFb). The record is from RNAcentral. Lineage: Eukaryota; Metazoa; Chordata; Mammalia; Rodentia; Spalacidae.
GGGGGUCAGUGUAUUCUGACUCUUGCAUUUUGACUCUUCGACACUAUUGCCUUCUUCAAUAGAGGAAGACUAUUCUUCCAUCAAGGGUAUGGAGUAAUUCAAGGAGCUGCAUGUCCCUGCUAGAACCUCCAAGCAAGGUCUCAAGGUCCACUUGUGGGAGAACAUAGGGGUGCUUAACCUUCUGAGAUGUCAAACAACCAAAUGAAGUGCUAUGCAAGGCAAUCUCCCUUU